Molecule: ribosomal RNA, 442 nt
Filed under: uncultured bacterium
Lineage: Bacteria
Description: partial 16S ribosomal RNA
Rfam family: Bacterial small subunit ribosomal RNA
Source: RNAcentral
GAUGAACGCUGGCGGCGUGCCUUAUACAUGCAAGUCGAGUGGGUUUAGACCCACGGCAAACGGGUGAGUAACACGUAGGUACUUUCCUUGUCACAGGAAUAACCCUCCGAAAGGAGGGCUAAUACCUGAUGUGAUCGCAAGAUUAAAGGGUAUCCGCAAGGAUUACCGGACAAGAAGAGGCCUGCGGCCUAUCAGCUAGUUGGCGGGGUAAAUGCCCACCAAGGCUAUGACGGGUAGCUGGUCUUAUGAGGAUGAUCAGUCACAUGGGCACUGAGACACGGGCCCAACUCCUACGGGAGGCAGCAGUAGGGAAUUUUGCGCAAUGGGCGAAAGCCUGACGCAGCGACGCAGCGUGCGGGAUGAAGGCCUUCGGGUCGUAAACCGCUUUUAUAAGGGACGAACUUUGACGGUACCUUAUGAAUAAGAGGUUGCUAACUCUGUG